RNAcentral lists this long non-coding RNA (601 nucleotides) under Anser cygnoides (Swan goose). Its description in RNAcentral is "lncRNA (ENSACDG00005005660.1)". Lineage: Eukaryota; Metazoa; Chordata; Aves; Anseriformes; Anatidae. The record is from RNAcentral.
GUCUGCUCAUGUUACAUAUCCUGAAGAAAAACUUUUUUAUACGGUGCUUGAAUUCAUUUUCCUUCUUUUCAACCAAUAAUAGAAGCAGGAUCAGGAUCAGUAACGUGUUAAUUGGAAAUAAUGCCUAAAAUGCCAAAUGGCAGGAGUGAAUGAUCAUGACCUGAACUCAUCAUAUCAGAUGCACCUUCAAGUUCAAAGAUUGUUCUUCCAACAACCAGUAAGGACAUUAGAAGAGCAUCCAGCCACCCUUCUAGAUAGUGGGAUCGACUGCACCCUCAGCAAAUUAGCAGAUGACACCAAGCUGAGUGGUACAACAGAAGGAAGGGAUGCCAUGCACAGGGACCUGGACAAGCAUGAGAAGUGGGUCCACAUAAACCUAAUGAGGUUCAAAAAAUCCAAGUGUAAGGUGCUGCACCUGGGUCAGGGCAAUCCCAGGCAGAAGUACAGACUGGGAGAAGAACUCACUGAGAGCAGCCCUGCAGAGAAAGACUUGGGGGUUCUGGUGAACAACAUGAGCAAGCAGUACGUGCUUGCAGCCCAGAAAGCCAACUGUGUCCUGUGCUGCAUCACCAGAGGGGUGGCCAGCAGGGGAGGGAGGUGA